GCUAAAAUAAAUCCUGUCGGUUUCCGCAAGGAAUCAAAAGGGAAUUCGCCACCGGCCUGCCGGUGAACCGAAACUGCCCCCGCAACUGUAGGCGAUGAGCGUGCAGCGAUCAUGCCACUGUGGCCAAGAUGCCAUGGGAAGGCCGCUGCCGUGACGACCCGCCAGUCAGGAGACCUGCCGACACCAACGUAACGCG
This 196-nucleotide non-coding RNA is filed under the name Sulfitobacter sp. Lineage: Bacteria; Pseudomonadati; Pseudomonadota; Alphaproteobacteria; Rhodobacterales; Roseobacteraceae. The record is from RNAcentral.